GUGACCUCAAAUCAGGUAGGACUACCCGCUGAACUUAAGCAUAUCAAUAAGCGGAGGAAAAGAAACUAACAAGGAUUCCCCUAGUAACUGCGAGUGAAGCGGGAAAAGCUCAAAUUUAAAAUCUGUCAGUCUUUGGCUGUCCGAGUUGUAAUCUAGAGAAGUGUUAUCUGCGCUGGACCGUGUACAAGUCUCCUGGAAUGGAGCGUCAUAGAGGGUGAGAAUCCCGUCUCUGACACGGACUGCCAGGGCUUUGUGAUGCGCUCUCAAAGAGUCGAGUUGUUUGGGAAUGCAGCUCAAAAUGGGUGGUAAAUUCCAUCUAAAGCUAAAUAUUGGCGAGAGACCGAUAGCGAACAAGUACCGUGAGGGAAAGAUGAAAAGAACUUUGGAAAGAGAGUUAAACAGUACGUGAAAUUGCUGAAAGGGAAACGCUUGAAGUCAGUCGCGUUGUCCAGGGAUCAACCUUGCUGUUGCUUGGUGUACUUUCUGGUUAACGGGUCAGCAUCAAUUUUGAUCAUUGGAAAAAGGUUAGGGGAAUGUGGCAUCUUUGGAUGUGUUAUAGCCCUUGAUUGUAUACAAUGGUUGGGAUUGAGGAACUCAGCACGCCGCAAGGCCGGGUUUUAACCACGUACGUGCUAGAUG
This 639-nucleotide ribosomal RNA is filed under the name Cortinarius cf. anomalus SMI14. RNAcentral's name for it is "eukaryotic LSU rRNA". It matches the Rfam family "Eukaryotic large subunit ribosomal RNA", at positions 1 to 625 of the family's 3401-position model. Lineage: Eukaryota; Fungi; Basidiomycota; Agaricomycetes; Agaricales; Cortinariaceae. The record is from RNAcentral.